GAUGAACGCUGGCGGCGUGCUUAACACAUGCAAGUCGAACGGAUGCUUUGGGAAACUGGAGCGUUAGUGGCAAACGGGUGAGUAACACGUGGGUGACCUACCUCAAAGUGGGGAACAACAGACCGAAAGGUUUGCUAAUACCGCAUUAGCUCGUCGAUUCAUUUUGACGAGUAAAGCCGUAAGGCGCUUUGAGAGGGGCCCGCGUCCCAUCAGGUAGUUGGUGAGGUAAUGGCCCACCAAGCCGAUGACGGGUAGCUGGUCUGAGAGGACGAUCAGCCACAAUGGAACUGAGACACGGUCCAUACUCCUACGGGUGGCAG
RNAcentral lists this ribosomal RNA (320 nucleotides) under uncultured Chloroflexota bacterium. RNAcentral's name for it is "bacterial SSU rRNA". It matches the Rfam family "Bacterial small subunit ribosomal RNA", at positions 28 to 351 of the family's 1533-position model. Lineage: Bacteria; Bacillati; Chloroflexota. The record is from RNAcentral.